GAGUUUGAUCCUGGCUCAGAUUGAACGCUGGCGGCAUGCCUUACACAUGCAAGUCGAACGGCAGCACGGGUGCUUGCACCUGGUGGCGAGUGGCGAACGGGUGAGUAAUACAUCGGAACAUGUCCUGUAGUGGGGGAUAGCCCGGCGAAAGCCGGAUUAAUACCGCAUACGAUCUACGGAUGAAAGCGGGGGACCUUCGGGCCUCGCGCUACAGGGUUGGCCGAUGGCUGAUUAGCUAGUUGGUGGGGUAAAGGCCUACCAAGGCGACGAUCAGUAGCUGGUCUGAGAGGACGACCAGCCACACUGGGACUGAGACACGGCCCAGACUCCUACGGGAGGCAGCA
Molecule: ribosomal RNA, 344 nt
Filed under: uncultured Burkholderia sp.
Lineage: Bacteria; Pseudomonadati; Pseudomonadota; Betaproteobacteria; Burkholderiales; Burkholderiaceae
Description: bacterial SSU rRNA
Rfam family: Bacterial small subunit ribosomal RNA
Source: RNAcentral